RNAcentral lists this ribosomal RNA (79 nucleotides) under Escherichia coli. RNAcentral's name for it is "partial 23S ribosomal RNA". Lineage: Bacteria; Pseudomonadati; Pseudomonadota; Gammaproteobacteria; Enterobacterales; Enterobacteriaceae. RNAcentral also lists the same sequence under 13 other names. The record is from RNAcentral.
GGCCGGGUGUGUAAGCGCAGCGAUGCGUUGAGCUAACCGGUACUAAUGAACCGUGAGGCUUAACCUUACAACGCCGAAG